RNAcentral lists this ribosomal RNA (533 nucleotides) under uncultured bacterium. RNAcentral's name for it is "bacterial SSU rRNA". It matches the Rfam family "Bacterial small subunit ribosomal RNA", at positions 84 to 613 of the family's 1533-position model. The record is from RNAcentral.
GGAUGAGUAAAGUGGCGCACGGGUGAGUAAUGAAUAGGAACGUAUCUUUAGGUGUGGAACAACCUUGGGAAACCAUGGCUAAUACCGCAUAAAGUCGUAAGACCAAAGGGGGCCUCUACUUGUAAGCUCUCGCCUGAAGCUCGGCCUAUUUCCCAUUAGCUAGUUGGUAGGGUAAAAGCCUACCAAGGCGACGAUGGGUAGCUGGUCUGAGAGGAUGAUCAGCCACACUGGAACUGAGACACGGUCCAGACUCCUACGGGAGGCAGCAGUGGGGAAUCUUGCACAAUGGGCGAAAGCCUGAUGCAGCAACGCCGCGUGAGUGAAGAAGGUCUUUGGAUUGUAAAGCUCUUUCGGCUAGAAAGAAGGGAUUUUAGUUAAUAAACUAAGAUUCUGACGGUACUAGAAGAAGAAGCACCUGCUAACUACGUGCCAGCAGCAGCGGUAAUACGUAGGUGCAAGCGUUGUUCGGAGUGACUGGGCGUAAAGGCGCGUAGGCGGGUUUGUAAGUCGAUUGUGAAAUCCCCGAGCUUAAC